RNAcentral lists this unclassified non-coding RNA (836 nucleotides) under Hevea brasiliensis (rubber tree). Lineage: Eukaryota; Viridiplantae; Streptophyta; Magnoliopsida; Malpighiales; Euphorbiaceae. The record is from RNAcentral.
AAAACAUUAAACGAUUUCCGCUCCAAAUAACUUCCCUAUUAUGAACUCACAAAUAAUAUAUCACUUCACAAUCUCCUCCCAAACUUUCCAAAUCUCCGUGCCACCCCGAAAAUAACCGCCUUGGUAACUAGGCCAUGAUCGAGAGUACAUGCAAGGACCACUGCACCACCAACCAGGGCGAACUUGAACAACCCCCAUGGUUUCUGCUCUUCCACUUCAAUGGCGUUCGAUGUUUCAGUACUGGUUUCAACUGAUCGGAGGUAGUCAACAUCAAUCUUGGUAGUGAUCUGCGCCAUGAGGGCACACCGUGAGAGCGGCUCACUGGACCUCCUGGCCAACUGGUAGGCUCGAAGGCCAGGCUCGAUCUUCUUGACACAUGCCCACAUUCCCUGGCGGAUUCCGAGUUUCGCUAUCUCCCACGGGAUGCCCAUGUCCUCGUGAUGGAAGAGUAAUACUUCACAGGCUGUCAUCUGGCCAUCCCCUCUGCUCGACUCGACAGCACGGAUACACCAACUUGAAUAGUACAGGUCGACUCGUCUGGGUUUAUUUCGUCUGGGUAGUGACAAGUAUGGCACCCCCUUUGUCACACAGUAAUAUGCUCUGCCCAAGUCCCAAAUUCGCCGUCCAAUAGUGUACUCUCUAUCACUGCAGAAGAACGGAAACUUCCGGACCCAAUGAACUAUCAUCGUCCCAGUUGUCGGACACUCUUCCAAAGUCUCAUGAUACAAAAGCAUGUCAUCCCAUCCAUUCUUAAUCCGAAACUCGUCAUCCCAAAAGAAGUCUCUCACUAACUCCGGUGUCACAUCCUCAUACACAGUCCUGCUCCGAUAUUGCGG